AUUGAACGCUGGCGGCAUGCCUUACACAUGCAAGUCGAACGGUAACAGGUCUUCGGAUGCUGACGAGUGGCGAACGGGUGAGUAAUACAUCGGAACGUGCCCGAUCGUGGGGGAUAACGAAGCGAAAGCUUUGCUAAUACCGCAUACGAUCUACGGAUGAAAGCAGGGGACCGCAAGGCCUUGCGCGAACGGAGCGGCCGAUGGCAGAUUAGGUAGUCGGUGGGAUAAAAGCUUACCAAGCCGACGAUCUGUAGCUGGUCUGAGAGGACGACCAGCCACACUGGGACUGAGACACGGCCCAGACUCCUACGGGAGGCAGCAGUGGGGAAUUUUGGACAAUGGGCGAAAGCCUGAUCCAGUCAUGCCGCGUGCAGGAUGAAGGCCUUCGGGUUGUAAACUGCUUUUGUACGGAACGAAAAGACUCUGGUUAAUACCUGGGGUCCAUGACGGUACCGUAAGAAUAAGCACCGGCUAACUACGUG
RNAcentral lists this ribosomal RNA (482 nucleotides) under uncultured bacterium. RNAcentral describes it as "partial 16S ribosomal RNA". It matches the Rfam family "Bacterial small subunit ribosomal RNA", at positions 30 to 507 of the family's 1533-position model. The record is from RNAcentral.